AGAGUUUGAUCCUGGCUCAGGAUGAACGCUAGCGACAGGCUUAACACAUGCAAGUCGAGGGGCAGCGGAGGAGUCAGCUUGCUGACUUUUGCCGGCGACCGGCGCACGGGUGAGUAACACGUAUGCAACCUGCCCGCCACAGGGGGAUAACCGGGAGAAAUCCCGACUAAUACCGCGUAGACCGCGAGGGGGCAUCCCGACGCGGGGAAAGGACAUGGUCCGGUGGCGGAUGGGCAUGCGGCGCAUUAGCUAGUUGGCGGGGCAACGGCCCACCAAGGCGACGAUGCGUAGGGGUUCUGAGAGGAAGGUCCCCCACAUUGGUACUGAGACACGGACCAAACUCCUACGGGAGGCAGCAGUGAGGAAUAUUGGUCAAUGGGCGAGAGCCUGAACCAGCCAAGUCGCGUGAGGGAGGAAGGUCCUACGGAUUGUAAACCUCUUUUGCCGGGGAGCAAAGGGGCCAUUGAUGGCAGGAUGAGCGUACCCGGAGAAAAAGCAUCGGCUAACUCCGUGCCAGCAGCCGCGGUAAUACGGAGGAUGCGAGCGUUAUCCGGAUUUAUUGGGUUUAAAGGGUGCGCAGGCGGACUCGUCAAGUCAGCGGUAAAAAUUCGGGGCUCAACCCCGUCCUGCCGUUGAAACUGCGAGACUGGAGUGCGACAGAGGAAGGCGGAAUGCGAGGUGUAGCGGUGAAAUGCAUAGAUAUCGCGCAGAACUCCGAUUGCGAAGGCAGCCUUCCAUGUCGUGACUGACGCUGAGGCACGAAAGCGUGGGGAUCGAACAGGAUUAGAUACCCUGGUAGUCC
This 802-nucleotide ribosomal RNA is filed under the name uncultured bacterium. RNAcentral's name for it is "bacterial SSU rRNA". It matches the Rfam family "Bacterial small subunit ribosomal RNA", at positions 8 to 796 of the family's 1533-position model. The record is from RNAcentral.